Molecule: ribosomal RNA, 253 nt
Filed under: uncultured prokaryote
Description: partial 16S ribosomal RNA
Rfam family: Bacterial small subunit ribosomal RNA
Source: RNAcentral
ACAGAGGGUACGAGCGUUGUCCGGAAUCACUGGGCGUAAAGGGCGCGUAGGCGGGCAUUCAAGUCGGUGGUGAAAUCCUCCAGCUUAACUGGAGAAGAGCUGUCGAUACUGGAUGUCUCGAGGGGUGCAGGGGUCUGCGGAACUUCGGGUGGAGCGGUGAAAUGCGUAGAGAUCCGAAGGAACGCCGGUGGCGAAAGCGGCGGACUGGGCACCUUCUGACGCUGAGGCGCGAAAGCCAGGGGAGCAAACGGGA